AGCAGGCGCGAAACCUUUACACUGCACGCACGUGCGAUAAGGGGACUCCGAGUGCGAGGGCAUAUCGUCCUCGCUUUUGUGUACCGUAGGGUGGUACACGAACAAGGGCUGGGCAAGACCGGUGCCAGCCGCCGCGGUAAUACCGGCAGCCCGAGUGAUGGCCGAUCUUAUUGGGCCUAAAGCGUCCGUAGCUGGGUCUGAAAGUCCAUCGGGAAAUCCACUCGCUCAACGAGUGGCCGUCCGGUGGAAACUCCACACCUUGGGACCGGAAGGCUCGAAGGGUACGGCCGGGGUAGGAGUGAAAUCCUGUAAUCCCGUCCGGACCACCGAUGGCGAAAGCACUUCGAGAAAACGGAUCCGACAGUGAGGGACGAAAGCUAAGAUCGCGAACCGGAUUAGAUACCCGGGUAGUCUUAGCCGUAAACAAUGUUCGUUAGGUAUGACACAGACUACGCGUCUGUGUGUGCCGUAGGGAAGCCGAGAAACGAA
This 489-nucleotide ribosomal RNA is filed under the name uncultured haloarchaeon. RNAcentral's name for it is "bacterial SSU rRNA". It matches the Rfam family "Archaeal small subunit ribosomal RNA", at positions 334 to 823 of the family's 1478-position model. The record is from RNAcentral. Lineage: Archaea; Methanobacteriati; Methanobacteriota; Halobacteria; Halobacteriales; Halobacteriaceae.